AUGGACCUUUGCUUCGACUCGUUCAUAGCAGAAGCAAUUACAGUGAGGUUUGGUUUGAAUCUUUCUAAUACUGUCGGAUGUAGUAAGAUUGAAGUGAAUUCGGAUAGCGUGGAGGUGGUGAACGUGUUGAGCCAAGGCUACUCUUCUUCAGUCGCUUCAUCCAUUAUAAACGACUGUUAUUUCAUGUCACUAGGUUUUCCCCAUGUCAUUUAUGAUCAUUGUAAUAGGGAACAUAAUCGAGUAGCUCAUGAACUAGCAAGGUUAGCUAGGUUUUCUUCUUCGAGUGUUUGGAUGGAUAACACCCCUAAUGAGGUUAUCCCUUUACUUGUAAACAAUGCUACUUUACUUAUGAAUGAAUAA
This 360-nucleotide ribosomal RNA is filed under the name Triticum aestivum (bread wheat). RNAcentral describes it as "partial small subunit ribosomal RNA". The record is from RNAcentral. Lineage: Eukaryota; Viridiplantae; Streptophyta; Magnoliopsida; Poales; Poaceae.